AAUUCUCAACUUCAAAAUUGUUUUGUUUUGAAGCUUGGAUAUUGGAGGUCUUUGCAGGCACACAUUAGAGUGUCAGCUCCUCUUAAAUGCAUUAGCAGAACUUUGUACGUUCGGCUCUGGUUUGAUAAUCCUAUCUAUGCCAUUGCUGAGAGGUCAAUAGAUCAGCUUCUAAUUGUCCAUGUAUUUGGACUGUCUCCUUCGAGGCAUCAUCAUG
This 214-nucleotide unclassified non-coding RNA is filed under the name uncultured Clavulinopsis. RNAcentral describes it as "sequence contains ITS2". The record is from RNAcentral. Lineage: Eukaryota; Fungi; Basidiomycota; Agaricomycetes; Agaricales; Clavariaceae.